UUCUUGAACUUGGUUGAUGGCACC
Molecule: non-coding RNA, 24 nt
Filed under: Arabidopsis thaliana (thale cress)
Lineage: Eukaryota; Viridiplantae; Streptophyta; Magnoliopsida; Brassicales; Brassicaceae
Source: RNAcentral